UGAACGCUGGCGGCAGGCCUAACACAUGCAAGUCGAGCGGAUGAAGGGAGCUUGCUCCUGGAUUCAGCGGCGGACGGGUGAGUAAUGCCUAGGAAUCUGCCUGGUAGUGGGGGAUAACGUCCGGAAGCGGGCGCUAAUACCGCAUACGUCCUGAGGGAGAAAGUGGGGGAUCUUCGGACCUCACGCUAUCAGAUGAGCCUAGGUCGGAUUAGCUAGUUGGUGGGGUAAAGGCCUACCAAGGCGACGAUCCGUAACUGGUCUGAGAGGAUGAUCAGUCACACUGGAACUGAGACACGGUCCAGACUCCUACGGGAGGCAGCAGUGGGGAAUAUUGGACAAUGGGCGAAAGCCUGAUCCAGCCAUGCCGCGUGUGUGAAGAAGGUCUUCGGAUUGUAAAGCACUUUAAGUUGGGAGGAAGGGCAGUAAGUUAAUACCUUGCUGUUUUGACGUUACCAACAGAAUAAGCACCGGCUAACUUCGUG
Molecule: ribosomal RNA, 482 nt
Filed under: uncultured bacterium
Lineage: Bacteria
Description: partial 16S ribosomal RNA
Rfam family: Bacterial small subunit ribosomal RNA
Source: RNAcentral